This is a long non-coding RNA of Brassica napus (rape), 1203 nucleotides long. RefSeq lists it as uncharacterized. NCBI's taxonomy places the organism in Eukaryota, Viridiplantae, Streptophyta, Magnoliopsida, Brassicales, Brassicaceae. The transcript is spliced from 2 exons. The record is from RefSeq and is a predicted model, not a curated record.
CAAAAAAAUGAGUGAAUUAAAUCACUUAAAUUGUAUCACAAGAAUAAAUGAUAUUACUUUACAUUACUUAUUUCUAAAUGAUAUAACUAUAUAUAAUUUUAAAUCAAUUAUAACAACUGAUGUCCGUAUUAAUUAAUUUAACAUCACUUCAUAGAAAAUGAUAUAACCUCUAUGAAUUCGUAUCAUUUUAACAAAACUGAUAUUGUUAUAUACAUUUAUAUCAAUUAAACAACUGAUAUAUUUAUUAUUUUGGUUAACAUCAAUUAUUAAAAUGAUGCAUAAUUUAUAUCAGUAAGAAACUGAUGCUAACAAUUUUAUAUUAUAUAUCUAUGUUUUUAAUAUCACUUAAUAAAAUGAUGUUGUUUUUAUCUCAUUUCACAUUGGUUAAAAUAUUUUAUCUAUUAAUAUCAAUUUGUACCUUUUUUUUUUGAAACAUUAUCAAUUUAUAUCUAUGAAAUAGUUAAGCUAAUAAUUAGUGUAUAUAUAUUAUCGAAUUAAUAUAUAUUAUUGAAUUAAUGUAAACUAAUAGUGAUCUGUUACAAUCUUCCCCCCACCCCCACAAAAAAAAGGAACGACUACAGGUAAAGAAAAUGGAUAUUCUCUUCUUUUUUGUGCUUUGAUUUAAUUAUAUCAUCAUUGUAACUGUUUUACUUCAAUAAAUGGAUACUCUCUUCCGUCAAAAUCCUCAUCUUCUUCUUUCUUUCAGUUUCUUAAACUUUCUUUUAUCAUUGUAUGUAUUUGGAGAUUGAAUUAAACAACAUUUCAACAAAAUCAAGCAUUUAUAUGAGUGAAGAUAAUGAUUUUGCUACUUCUUAUGAAGAGUUUGAAAGGACACACCACUCUGCUAAUCAGACGAAUCUGAUUAAAAAUUCUAAGAGGAUCGGGAGCAUGUGGAAGUACAUAAUGAGAUGACGUUAAAUCAAAAUAUAGAGGAAAGUAGAAGUUUCAAGGAAUAUCAGAUGAUGGAGAAUUCUACAAUGAAUCUCAUUAGCUUCACAACUGAAUCAAUUUAGCUUCAAGCCACCAAUGAAGUUUGAUGAUGAAAAUAUGGAUACAGAGAAAGAGAAGGAAGAAGAAGCUUAUCUUGUUUACCUAUUUACAAUUUUUUUUUGUAUUCAUCUUCGUGCUUUUUAGGCUUUUUAUUUAAUUUAUUUGUAAAAUAUUAUUUCAAUGAAAAUAAAAAUUAUAAAUGAAAUAUUUUUA